This 260-nucleotide ribosomal RNA is filed under the name uncultured bacterium. RNAcentral's name for it is "partial 16S ribosomal RNA". It matches the Rfam family "Bacterial small subunit ribosomal RNA", at positions 337 to 593 of the family's 1533-position model. The record is from RNAcentral.
UCCUACGGGGGGCAGCAGUGAGGAAUAUUGGUCAAUGGGCGGGAGCCUGAACCGGCCAAGUCGCGUGAGGGAAGACGGUCCUAUGGAUUGUAAACCUCUUUAGGCGGGGAGCAAUGCCGGGCACGCGUGCCCGGAGGGAGAGUACCCGCAGAAUAAGCAUCGGCUAACUCCGUGCCAGCAGCCGCGGUAAUACGGAGGAUGCGAGCGUUAUCCGGAUUCAUUGGGUUUAAAGGGAGCGCAGGCGGGCCUUUAAGCCGGCG